This 394-nucleotide ribosomal RNA is filed under the name Alistipes ihumii. RNAcentral describes it as "bacterial SSU rRNA". It matches the Rfam family "Bacterial small subunit ribosomal RNA", at positions 119 to 512 of the family's 1533-position model. Lineage: Bacteria; Pseudomonadati; Bacteroidota; Bacteroidia; Bacteroidales; Rikenellaceae. The record is from RNAcentral.
AUGCAACCUACCUUCAACAGGGGGAUAAUCCGAAGAAAUUUGGUCUAAUACCCCAUAAUAUUCCGACAGGCAUCUGUCGGAGUUGAAAGCUUCGGUGGUUGGAGAUGGGCAUGCGUUGUAUUAGCUAGAUGGUGAGGUAACGGCUCACCAUGGCGAUGAUACAUAGGGGGACUGAGAGGUUUUCCCCCCACACUGGUACUGAGACACGGACCAGACUCCUACGGGAGGCAGCAGUGAGGAAUAUUGGUCAAUGGACGGAAGUCUGAACCAGCCAUGCCGCGUGCAGGAUGAAUGUGCUAUGCAUUGUAAACUGCUUUUGUACGAGGGUAAACACAGAUACGCGUAUCUGCUUGAAAGUAUCGUACGAAUAAGGAUCGGCUAACUACGUGCCAGC